AUGUGCUGAGAAAGCAGUAGGAGGCAACCAAAUAUGAAAAAUAUAUUGUUUAUUAAAACUAAAUAGGGUAAACAUCAAAAAAGGUGGAGGCUCCAACAAAAAGCAAAGCAAACCAACAAGUAGGAAACAACAGGGGGGUAAGAACAUUCAUACUGGGGAGGAUAAGGACUGAUAGGAAGUUGAUGUAAAGAAAAAUCCCAGGUGAGAGGAUACAUGAGAAACAUGAGAGGAUGUAGGGUUCAACAAAGUAGAGACAAAAUAAUAAAUAAAACACCAAACCCAAAUAAAUGCACAAGGACAAACACUUCCAAAUGAAAACAGAAACAAAACAUCACAAAGCUCAGGUGGUGAAGCUGUUUUCUGGAAAACCUAGCGUACAGGUGCUAACAACUGCGUACCUGAUUGACAGAAUCUGUAAGUACGGCCUUCAAAUUCUGCCGGGGACGGUUGCACAACAGAAUCAAAGUUUGACGAAGACAAAGACAAGGUUUUUGAUCAAUCACUUAGAAAGAAUGUUCAAAGAAGGCAGUUUCAUCAUCUGGCUUACUGUUAUUAGAAACAGCUUUUAGUCAAUGCUUGAGUCAUUGUAAACGUUACAAAUAAUAUACGGACUUUAACCAGAGAUGUAUCAAAGAGACUGGAUGUUUGGAGGAUGGAGAGGUUUUGAACAGCAGCCUUCUGAGAGAGAUCAGAACAUGAUGCUGUAAAUGUGGGGAAAUAGUCAUUGCUAGGGAUGGGUACUUGGUGCCAAGUUAGUGCUGGUACAUACGGUAUUUGGUACUACUACUGUCAUUGAAUCUUGACAGUGCAUCAUUUCGGACAUCCAUUUUACUAACCCGUUUUGUCACUUUUGGGGUGACGCGGCCUAACCUGGUCAUUUGUGGGCGAAGGCAGGGUACACCCUCGACAGGCCCACAGGCUGUUGCAGGACCACAAUCACACACACUCGCAUUCUCAAACAUGUCAAUUAGGGCUGGGAAUCACUGGGUACCGAUGCGAUACGCGAUACAUGAUUCACGAUAUUGAUGAUAUUGCAAUACUGGGAUAAUUGGUAAAAUAAUCUUUAAUAACUCACAAUAUAUAGAAGAACACAUAUGAUUUUGGAAUAUAUGUCCCUAUUUUUUUUUAGCUUGAACACAAUUAAAAUACACAACUUGUGUCUAAUUUUAUGCAACAAAUUAUGGACACUUUUGUACAACAUUGCUGAAAUCAGUAAUCCUUUGUCUUUAACAAGCAUUGAGACCAAUUGAAUUGGAAUUAUCUGUAAAAUUCAUUGUCAACAAAAGUAAAUAUGAACAGCAGUGCCACUACUUAGUACAAACAGACAACAACAGAACAAAAAUCAAAUAAUUCAAGUAGCUGCCAGACACAUUGGUGCCCAUGACACCAGUCUUGAAACACACCCCCUUGUAUGCCUCCAAAGGAACGUCUCACCAAAGGAAUAUAACGUUUUACAGCCUCUUCAAACAAAAAUAAAAGAUUGAUACUUGGCGAGAACUCAUCAAGAAUCAAUCACAUGACAAAAUGUUGUGAUAUUUUGGCACAUCCCUAAUGUCAGUCCCUUGUAUUUAACUCAGUUUUGUUGAUCAAUACCAGCCAAUCAUUGUACCUUUCCAGGGAAUGUGGGCGGGUCAUGAGUUUCUUUCAAAGUGUGCCAUCAUUUUUAGGAACCAAAAAUGGCCUUUAUCUAUUCUUCUAUCCUUUUAGAACCAGUACAUGGAAACUACAAUUUUUUUAAGUUGAAUUUAGCCAAAAAUCAUAUCGGAUGAAAUAUUUAUUGAGGAGCAGCCUGUAGUUCUCUGCUAACAGCAAGUCUUCAUCCACUGUUUCAGCCAAACCAAUACUUUAAGGUGACAGGAAGUGAUUGAUUUCUUUUUUUUGUUUAUAGGCUCCAAUUAAGUCAAAUAUGCUAACCAUUUAUCAAACAAUCUGGGACACUGUCUGGGGGAAAGGAAUAGAUCAAGACUCCUGUUUAUGCAAUCAUCAAAUAAGUAAAAAAAAAAAAAAAGAAAAAAAAACUUUUGGAUGUUUGAUGCUGUUUUACCACAAUUCUGUCCAUCACAGUUUUGUAAAAAUACUUUUCUCAAACAAUUCAAUUUAUUUAUGUUACCCCAAGGUCACAAACAGUUGUCUUAUUGGGCCUCAUACUAUUAAUUGUAGAAAAGCAGAAGGUCCGUCAUGAAAUAUAGACAACACCUUAUUGCUAAACUGAACUAAACAGACUAAACUAAACUGGUUAUCCCUGGCCUGAGAUCCUCCUUCUCAGUGAUGAAAAACACCUAAGAAAAGCGCGAUUUCAGGAAAAAAAAGAAGAAGCUUCAGGGAUACCCACACGAAGAAGGGAUCCUCUUCCAGGGCGGGAAGGCGAUGUACCAGGACUGUUAAGGAAGAAGUAGCCUAUCUAACUCUACACCUAUAUGUUUGAAUAGUGGUCAUCCAGAUAGAACUGAAGGACGGGUAGGGGCGAGGUCCACAGCCACAACGAGCCAGAGGUGAGGUCCACAGCCAAGAACAGGAGCACAGACGAUCCGUCUGGAAUCUGGAAUCCUUCGGGGAGUGGGAAAUGAGAACAACACUUGAAUUGCACUGCACCAAACAGAAGGUUGAAGUUGUUGAGCUAAGACCUUGAGGUUUGUGUGGCUGGAAGAGGUGAGUCAGACUCACAUGCUGGAAUGUUGCUCAUCAUAUUCUUAAAAUUAAACAUUUUCGCAGAAGCCAGAGCACGUUGAUCUCUGAGCAUGUUGCUUUUUUUUAAAAAGAGGUUGACUCUUAAAAACCUGCUGCCCACUGCUUGCUCUGGGGAGACUGACUCAGUUUCCCUGAAGCAAAUGGUGUCAGUGACUCAAAGUCGAUGACUGAGAUGCAAUAUUCAAGGUUACUCCUGCAAUUCUUGGAAUAAUUUUAGUAAAUGGUGAGUAGCAGAUGAUGACAAGUACAGGGAUGCAUGAGAAAAUAAGCUAACUUCCAGUGAUAAUGUGGAGCUGCAACACUUACCUCUGUAAAAGAGCAGAUUUCAAGUCCAAAUUUCCUCUAGUUCUCCUUCAGUUCAUUUCUGCAUGUAAAUGUGGAGUCGCACGAAAGGAAGACUUGCAACAAAAAAAAAAAAAUUCUAAAAGUGCAAGUGAUUUAGUAUUUGUAUUCAAAGACAUGGCCACCCAAAAAGCAGUCGUCUCAGGUCAGGAAUACUUCACAGGAGAUGGUACUACUCCAAAAACUACAAAAAAAGAGAUGGAUUCUGUAAGGAAUGUGAACAAAAGUGGCUGAACUGUGAAACGGUUAAGCUACAAUGAACUAGCAAUGCUGUGAGGAGAACAGAACAAUGUGCAGAUGUUAAACAGGUCAAACACAUGAUCGUGAUUAGCCAGAGGUGAUGAUGUGACUCAAGACUGCAGACUAGAGGUAUGAAAAAAGCCCAGUACUGGAAACUGGAAGAACUACUAUACAUCAGGGGUCCCCAACCUUUUCAGACCAUGUUAAAAAAAGUUUUUGGAUGGAGGAUGAAGUGGCUGAUUUUUUUUUAAGAUUCCAGUUUUCCUUAACUUUUGAGGGUUUACCUUCUGCCUCAGUAAAAUAUCUGCAGCUGCCUUGAAAGUUAUUUCUAUACUAGAUUUUACAUAGGAAGCAUUAAAGGAACCAAUAAAAUAUGAUAACUGUCAAAUUGGAACCUAAAACUUCAGCUAUAUAUGAUGUUUGAGGUGUGACAGAAGAAUAAAAAAAAAGUUUAAAUUGUUAUUUAUUUCUAAAUGUUUGAACAACUUUAUUAGCAAUAUCCUCGUGACAAUAGGCAGUCGGUUAUCAUUACGGGGAUAGUUUAAAUUUCGCAGUCGGUGCAGCCGCUUUAAAGGGUCUAUAUCAGGGGUUUGCAACCUGCGACUUUGGAGGCACAUGCGGCCCAUAAGCUCUCCAUUGUGGCUCUGUGGUUAAUAAAAAAUACAAUAUUUUCAAUUUGAAAAAGCAACAUAUAUUAGGUUUAUCUUAUAGUUUUAUUAAGGAAAAAAAAAAAAAAAAAAACUCCUUCACAAACAUUUGAGGAGCAGCAUGUAUCACUCCACCAGGAUCCUGACUACAUUACCCACAAUGCUCCAACAACCCAUCAAGCAGUUUGGCUUCUUAUUUUACCAAAAGUGCUGUUUACCACAGAAAAUCAAUUUGAAGUCAGUACACUCAACCACAAUUCACAAUUCCAUAAAAUGGAUGGCACCCACAAGGAGCGAAAGGCGGAGCCUCAGAGAUCAAGUCAUCUUACUCCUGAAGACAAAACUCAUUUCCAUAGAAAAAUUAGUUCUAUAGUGUGAAAAAGUUAAUAUAGGAUCACGUCUAUGGAUAGGCUUCAGAAUGACAUUAAGUAGUGGUUGUAUUUUCAUCAUCGGACCAAGGGAUUUGUGAGAGAAUCCAGUCGUUAUUCAAAAUAAAACUUCCCUCAGAACUAAAUUGUAAAUCAAAAUGGGAAAAAGGUUUUUUUUUUUUUUUUUCCUCUGCGGCCCAGUACCAGCUCUCCAGGGACCACAUCUAUACAUGUCAUAGCAGCAAAAUGUUCCGUAAUGACCAAUGUGGUUUCAAUAGACGUUUUUGAUAAACAAAAUCUAUGUGCACGGUAGUUUUUUUUUUGUUCUUUAUAACAGAAGAUGUGGACAGUUAAAACCCAUUGUCUGUUAUUAGAUAAACACACUUUAAUGUAACAAAGGAUAAAUACUGAACUCAUAACUAACGUUUUUGAUUUUAAAGGAAAACACAAACGUAAUAGCCUCGGCACGACAGAAAUAUAUUAAACUGUGCUAUGUAGAAAAUAUACAUCAAAAGCUAAUCCAAUUGACUUAUUAAAUCAUUUUCAAAGACCAGAAAAUGAAACCUGCGUUAAUAUAUGAAUUGUCAAAUGGAAACGGCAAGAAUAUGGUUUAAAAAAAAAAAAGCCAAGUGCAAGUGCUGGAGCUAUGGUUGUGGUAAGAAAUAGGCCAAAAUUAAAUAACUUCAUAGAUAAAGGAAAUGUUUUCAUUCUUUCCAAUUAUACAGGUUGGAUUUUCUAAAUUCCUGAAAGAAACCUUUUAAAUGUGUUGUGGGAGGUAAAUUAUAAAGCUGAGAUGGGCUCAGAUAAACCUUUGGGUUAUUGGAGGUAUUUGUGCUGGGAAAUGAUUAAAAUGUUUGGAAUGCGAUUAAUUGCAUAUUUUUCUGUGAUUAAUCUUGAGUAAUUGUUUUGCUGACUGCAAAAAAUUAAUAACGGGGUAUGAGUCCUGAAAUGUAUUCCUGACUCGGAGUUCUUCCUGAACUUCUCAUAUUUUAAGAAAUGAAACAACAGAAAACUUAGUAAAAUAAAACAAUUUAAAUAAUGUUUAUUUAAAUAUUUAAAGGUGAUAAUCCAUCUAUAGCUCUGUGUUUAGCCAGAUGACUGUGCAACACUUUGGUCAGCUGAGAUUAAGAAUGUGCUACAGAAAAUAAGAUACGUUAAUUUGACUCCUAAAGGCUUAAGCAAGCAAAGAUAAUCUGAACAAGAAAGCUCACUCGGCCAAAUAACAAUGCUGUGGCCGAGACAGAAAUGAAAAGUGUGAGAGGGUUGAAGGUGAGAAAAAAGAAAAGAAAUAGCUUUUUGAUAUUCUUAUAUUGCUGGCACCUGACUCUGUCUGGGGGAAAGUAAAAUUAUUUGACAAAAAUAAAUAAGCUUUGGCUGGAGCUGUCUUCUCGAUACCUUUGUGGUCAAAGAAAACGCAUGCUGAAUUGAUGUAUGAGAUGAGAAAAAAAAUGAAAGUCUGUCAUCACAGUAAGAAAUUGCCCAGGGUUUAAAAAUCGUAUAAACACAACACCAAUGAGAGCUGAGAGAAAGGAGGAGACGUGAGAAUGGACAGAAAAUCAUAAGGAAAGAAAAUAAAUGUAUCAAACCACCAGUGAAAAUAUAUAAAAAGAGAUUACAUUUUUGAGCAUUAAAGAUUAUAGUGACAACAUUAACAUUAUAACAUUAUAGUGAAAAUCCUCGAAUUUACCAAAACGAGACAUUUAUAAAGUUGUAGAAACACAAUGCAGCUUAUGUGUAGCAGUUCCACAAUGUGUGUUUUUUUAUGCAUUACUAACAAGGUUGUGAGUUUGCGUUGCCACAUUUGUUUUUGAGAUAUCAAUCUGUUUUUGUUUGUGUUGCAAACGAGAUUGGGAGAUACGGCUUUUGUGACAAAGCGGCCAACAAUGAACUGUGUUCCUUUUUUUGUUUUGCUAACAAGGUUGGGAGUUAGGGUAGUCACAGUAACAUUUGUUUUAGCGGUCUCAGUCAUUGUUUUGCAAGUCACAAGUAGGACUCAAAUCUUUGUCCAAGUCAAGUCCCGAGUUGAGUCACAAGUCAAUACCAACAAGUUCCAAGUCAAGAUCAACGAGUCCCAAGUCAAGACCAACAAGUUUCAAGUUAAGUCAUGAGUCAAAACCGACAAGUCUCAUUUUGAGUCGCAAGUCAAGACAAGUCUCAAAUCAAGUCACAAGUCAAGACUAACAAGUCUUAAGUUGAGUAACAAGUCAAGAUCAACAAGUCCCAAGUCAAGAGCAACAAGUCUCAAGUCGAGUCACAAGUCAAGACCAACAAGUCUCAAGUUGAGUAAAAAGUCAAGAUCAACACAUCCCAAAGCCAAGACCAACAAGUCUCAAGUCACAAGUCAAGACCAACAAGUCUCAAGUCACAAGUCAAGAUCAACAAGUCUCAAGUCAAGUCACAAGUCAAGACCAACAAGUCUCAAGUUGAGUAACAAGUCAAGCCCAACAGAUCCCAAGCCAAGACCAACAAGUUACAAGUCAAGAUCAACAGGUCCCAAAUCAAGACUAGCAAGUCUCAAGUCAGGACACAAGUCAAGACCAACAAGUCUCAACUCAACUCGCUGGUCAAGACCAACAAGUAUCAAGUCAAUUCACAAGUCAAGACUAAGAAGUCCCAAGUCAAAACCAACAAGUCUCAAGUUGAGUCACAAGUCAAGACCAACAAGUCUUAGUUUGAGUCAUAAGGCAAGAUCAACAAGUCUCAAAUCGAGUCACAAGUCAAGACCAACAAGUCUUAAUUUAAGUCACAAGGCAAGACCAACAAGUCUAAAGUCAAAUCAGAAGUCAAGACUAACAAGUCUAAAAUCAAGACACAUGUCAGAAAAACAAGUCUCAAGUCAAAUCUCAAGUUUAGAUCAACAGGUCCCAAAACAAGACCAACAAGUCUCAAGUUGAGUCACAAGUCAAGACCAACAAGUCUAAAUUCGGGUCACAAGUCAAGACCAACAAGUCUCAAUUCAAGUCACUAGUCAAGAUCAACAAGUCUCAAGUGGAGAAGCAAGUCAAGAUCAACAAGUCCCAAUUCAAGACCAACUACUCUUAUGUUGAGUCUCAAGUUGAGUCACGUCAAGCUCAAGAAGUCUAAAUUUAACUUACAAGUCCUUCCAUUGAACGUCUCAAGUCAUUUCAACAACAGAGUAAUAUCAUUUAAACAGACUAUGUGUGCUUUUAAUAACUAUUUACUUAUCAUAAUUUUAAAAGCACAUUAGAGAGACAAAUUUGUUGUUUUUUGUGCUAAUUAAAUAAAAUGUAAUUGAGGCAGAUUGACUGACAUACAAAAUCAAUAUAUUUACAAUUGAAAACAAAGGUGAGACAAAGAAAAGUAGGAUUAAAGUUGUGCACAAAGUAUUACUUCUAAACAUGGGUUUUUGUUUGUGCUUUUGGCAUAUGGUGUUCACACAGAUCUGCCACAAUCAAAUACUGGCCUGUGUCUGUGGCACAAAUCUAAUAGAGUUUGCUCCAGGCUUUUUCUUUAACAGUUUUAUUCCGAUGUAUAAAAGAUUUGUUAUACAGCUGGGCACAAACCACAAUUAUUUAUUCCUCCUGCAUGGUCAAUUUUUAAAUGUUUGGUACUUUUGUGUUAUGUAAAAAAAGCAAUCCAUUUGUCACUAUAAAAUCUGAGUCCCUGAUUGGUUACAGUUCAACUGGUUUAAUGUGUGAAUGUAGCUUAAUGCUUCUAAUGCAGCUAAUGUGUAAUGUGUCACAAACAAGUUCUAGAGUUACAGUAAACACCGUUAAUAUGGUCUGACUGACUGACAGACUUAACUUUGACUCUUUUUCUUGCUUACUAAGCCUUUCAGUAUGCCUUGUAUAUGACUUAAGGUUAAAAAAUAGGAAAUUUAUUAACAUUGCAGCUACGCCUGUAGUGCUAAAAUACUUUAUCCUCAUCCUUCCACUUGGAAGGUAACCAGCCAACUUGAUGAGUUGCAGAGAAAGGGACAUAAAGAAAAUAAGAAAAAUAGAACAAUGUGCUGACAUAACUUUGAUUCUGUUGGACCUCACGUGCUACUUACUGUUUUUUAUUCAUGGUCUAUUUCCAUCAUGUCACUUCUUCUUUUUAUUCAUGUUGUGCAUUUUUCUUCUGGAACGAGUGCUCCUGUAAGAUGUAAAGCCCUUAAAAACUUGGCUUCUCUUUCGCACUGCAACAUAAAUAUUCAUAAGUGAAUGAGCAGCCAUCAUCCCACCAGUUCUGAUGAUGGAAAAACUGUAAUGGCUCUUUCAUUUUGAUUUGUUUAAAAUGCUCUCCUUUUUUUUUUUUUUUUUUAACAAACUCCAAAGAAGAACAGAAAAAAGUAAAAAUUUUAAUGAAUGUCGUAUUUUAGCAUGUGAAGUUUAGAUUAGUUGUGACAAAGCUCUGCAAACUAGAUUGCAUAACUGAUUUGAGCCGCAGGUUUUUUUUUUUUGUUUUUUUUUUUUUGCAUCCCAUCACAUUUUAAAUUUGAGGUUUCUCAUUAAUCCAUGUUAAAAUAAGAAAAAGAAAAAAGAACAAAACAAAACAAUGGAGAGACAGUCUGGGCAUGAGGUAAGCCCUAAAGCUGCCAUAAAGUGAAGGUCAUAAUGUUUCAUGGUCAGUGCUGUCACCAAAUUUUGCAUGAGAAAAUUAAUUAUUUUCAAAUAUUCUGCAUGGGCCUAAAGGGAGCUUUUUAAUUAAUUAUGUAACUAUGAUGUUAAGUACUCAUAAUAUACAUGGUGAUUAUAGAAUGUUCCAUUUCAAUAACAGGAUUUUUGCAACUGUUACUUUAAUUUAGUGCAUUUUUUUCUGGGUGAUGAUCUGUUGUCACAAAUUUCAGACAGUGUAUAAGCAGGUAGGCCUAAAAUUGUUGGUUUUUAUCAGGUAAAAUACAAUUUGUUCUUUUGUUCAAGAGUCGCAAGCUAAAACUUCCUAAAAUUAUUUAGUGUGCACACAAUUUAACAAGUCAGGACACCCAAAAAAAUGGAGAGUAACACACAUAAUUGUAAAAAAAUAAAAAAAAA
Molecule: long non-coding RNA, 9258 nt
Organism: Oryzias melastigma (Indian medaka)
Lineage: Eukaryota; Metazoa; Chordata; Actinopteri; Beloniformes; Adrianichthyidae
Exons: 2
Source: RefSeq, a predicted model, not a curated record